Molecule: ribosomal RNA, 253 nt
Filed under: uncultured bacterium
Lineage: Bacteria
Description: partial 16S ribosomal RNA
Rfam family: Bacterial small subunit ribosomal RNA
Source: RNAcentral
UACAGAGGGGGCAAGCGUUAUUCGGAAUUAUUGGGCGUAAAGGGCGCGUAGGCGGCCUGGCAAGUGGAAGGUGAAAUCCCUCGGCUUAACCGAGGAACUGCCCUCCAAACUGCUUGGCUUGAGUCCGGGAGAGGUGAGUGGAAUUCCCAGUGUAGCGGUGAAAUGCGUAGAUAUUGGGAGGAACACCAGUGGCGAAGGCGGCUCACUGGACCGGAACUGACGCUGAGGAGCGAAAGCGUGGGGAGCAAACGGG